RNAcentral lists this long non-coding RNA (1008 nucleotides) under Cairina moschata (Muscovy duck). RNAcentral's name for it is "domestica (muscovy Duck (domestic type)) lncRNA (ENSCMMG00000009861.1)". Lineage: Eukaryota; Metazoa; Chordata; Aves; Anseriformes; Anatidae. The record is from RNAcentral.
CAUUCCUCUUGAACCUGUUAACACAGCCUUGAUAGCAGCGGGAAGAAUAGUCAUUCUGCCUGCACACCUCCAGCUCACACUGCAGGAAGACUGAUGGGUAUCGUCCAACAAAUGAAAAUGCAUUAAAGCCAAACCGACUGACACUUCUGUCUGGUGAAUAGUAAGAAGAAUAGGUAGUAUCUUUGACACACCUAGAGAGAAAUAUAAAAGUAACAGAUUAGUUGUCUUAAAGAGAAACACUAUUACACUAUCUCUGUGCAAUAUGCUUCAGGUUCAGAUAUAAAACCUUAUAUAUAUAUAUAUAUAUAUAUAUAUAUAUAUAUAUAUAACCUAUAUAUAUAUAUAUAUAUAUAGGUUAUAUAUAUAUAUAUAUAUAUAUAUAUAUAUAUAUAUAUAAGGUUUUAUAUCUGAACCUGAAGCAUAUUGCACAGAGAUAGUGUAAUAGUGUUUCUCUUUAAGACAACUAAUCUGUUACUUUUAUAUUUCUCUCUAGGUGUGUCAAAGAUACUACCUAUUCUUCUUACUAUUCACCAGACAGAAGUGUCAGUCGGUUUGGCUUUAAUGCAUUUUCAUUUGUUGGACGAUACCCAUCAGUCUUCCUGCAGUGUGAGCUGGAGGUGUGCAGGCAGAAUGACUAUUCUUCCCGCUGCUAUCAAGGCUGUGUUAACAGGUUCAAGAGGAAUGCAGGAUCUUCACAGGAAAAAAUGAGUGUUAUUGUUGGACCUAUCCAGCUUCAGGAGGCUCCCACUGAGAACAGAAAUGCUGGUAUUGAUCUGGCCUCUAACACCCAGGAGAGAGGGGAGUCUGAGAGCUCAGCGCCUGCUGCCGGCUCUCAUGUUCCUCUGGCUGUGACCGCCGUGGUGUUGGCAGCUGCUGUCCUCACCGUGGGAGGAUUUCUUCUGAAGCGCAAACUGCAGGAACCCACCCCGUACCAGAUAAUGUGAGAGGUGACCAAACAUCUGCUGGUGGAGGGUGCAAUUUGAACAUUACAGCGCAUCUCAACUGAGC